GGACUACGGGGGUUUCUAAUCCUGUUUGCUCCCCACGCUUUCGUGCCUCAGCGUCAGUAUCGGGCCAGUGAGCCGCCUUCGCCACUGGUGUUCUUGCGAAUAUCUACGAAUUUCACCUCUACACUCGCAGUUCCACUCACCUCUCCCGAACUCAAGAUCUUCAGUAUCAAAGGCAGUUCUGGAGUUGAGCUCCAGGAUUUCACCCCUGACUUAAAGACCCGCCUACGCACCCUUUACGCCCAGUGAUUCCGAGCAACGCUAGCCCCCUUCGUAUUACCGCGGCGGCUGACAC
Molecule: unclassified non-coding RNA, 292 nt
Filed under: uncultured Alphaproteobacteria bacterium
Lineage: Bacteria; Pseudomonadati; Pseudomonadota; Alphaproteobacteria
Description: contains 16S-23S intergenic spacer region
Source: RNAcentral